Molecule: long non-coding RNA, 1727 nt
Filed under: Nicotiana benthamiana
Lineage: Eukaryota; Viridiplantae; Streptophyta; Magnoliopsida; Solanales; Solanaceae
Description: long non-coding RNA (NBEN_LNC026912)
Source: RNAcentral
GGCUUAGUCAAGGCUGGAAUUGACUGCCGCCCAGUGAUGAACCUCGUGUAGAAUUCGAGCGAAAUAAAUCACAGGGUUACAGGGCUAAUUUUAGCACAAUUGACGCUGCGCGGCAGUAGCCAAACUCUCAGCCACUAAACCUUACUUUUUCGCACACAGUUUGACACUUAGAAUUAUUUGAGACUUGUAAAACAUAAGCAACACACCGCAGUGACGGGUAAAACCCAACCUUUAUUCAAUUCUCGCAGAAUGUACAAAAGGAAACUCAGUUGGAAGGCUCACAUAAAAGUUUAUAAUAAAAUAGUACGAGUUGUAAAAGCGUAAGAGCUAUAUAGAACCACCUUUGGCCGGUCUCACAUCUUCCCAUCCUCUACUUAGUUGUCUCAAUUACAUCGAUCCUGAACUACGUCCAUCCAAGUAUUCUUGCCCUUACCCUUUCGGUCGAGCACAACCUCCCGAGCGCUAGGUUCAAGCAACUUCAUACCACUUCGUCCCUUUCACUCUUCAACCUGAUCUCUACAUUCAUAGCUUGAAAAAGCAAAAGAGGGUCACCGUCACCUCUCUUAAUGACUAUUCUUAAGCUUCCUUUCUUUGGGAGUAGGAUCUCUUUCCUAGGAGCUCAUAGAAAGAUAGCGAAGUCAGAUAGUUCUUUCUUGCUUUCCUUCUAUCUUUCUUUCUAUUUCAAAGCUUGUGCUUUGGUUCAGAUCACUGCUUACUUACUUGACUUGCNNNNNNNNNNNNNNNNNNNNNNNNNNNNNNNNNNNNNNNNNNNNNNNNNNNNNNNNNNNNNNCGUAAGAGCUAUAUAGAACCACCUUUGGCCGGUCUCACAUCUUCCCAUCCUCUACUUAGUUGUCUCAAUUACAUCGAUCCUGAACUACGUCCAUCCAAGUAUUCUUGCCCUUACCCUUUCGGUCGAGCACAACCUCCCGAGCGCUAGGUUCAAGCAACUUCAUACCACUUCGUCCCUUUCACUCUUCAACCUGAUCUGUUGCCUAUGGGAGAUUACAAAGGGCGGUUACAUAAGGCAGUUAUAUAAUGUGCCCUGCACAUGCUAAGCCUAAACAAGCGUAACUACUUAGUCAUAAUUCGAAUUCAAACUUUCCCACGAAAUGGAUCCCUCUCCAGCUCUUUGGCCAACUGUAAUAUGUGCAUUGCACAUGGCUAAACUUCUACAGCACAUGCACAACACACUACUUCAAAGUCACAUGACUUGCACACUUGUUCCACAGCUUUUGCCCACACUUUGCCUUCCUGCCCUGCCUUAUCUUUGGACCAUGCCUCGCUCAUAAGCUCAUGACAAUGUCUUGUCACAAUCUUUACCGUCCUACUGAUCCGUACCAAUGCCUUAGCCAAGUCCAAUGCGCUUUCGGUUGCCAUAUUCAUCGCCCACAAUCAAGGCUGCCUUGCCAACACUCAACACACCUUGUCUAGCUGACCUGCUCAAGUCAAUGCACUAAUUUAGGCACGCUCCUAGCUCUGCGUAUUGCUUGCCAUCGCCCGCACGAACCUAUGCCAAGGGGAAAUAUACAAGCCCUUAACAUUGGUUCUCCCCGACAUCCGUAUAUCUCAAUAUUAGGGGCUAAAAAACCACCCCCACUAGUUGAACUCGUUGCCCUCGUCGAGGCUAAUUUCAAGUAGUCCUCAGUUUGUUAUUCAUAUUGCCACAAUGAAGCACCAUUUUCCCAAGUCGCAUCUGCCUCAGGCUUUCCCUUCUAUUGAACAAGUA